UGUCGACUAAUCUCACGAAGCUUGCCC
RNAcentral lists this small RNA (27 nucleotides) under Bombyx mori (domestic silkworm). RNAcentral describes it as "piRNA piR-bmo-1958834". Lineage: Eukaryota; Metazoa; Arthropoda; Insecta; Lepidoptera; Bombycidae. The record is from RNAcentral.